CAUGCAGGCGGUUAUACAAGUAGGAUGUGAAAGCCUGGGGCUCAACCUCAGAACUGCAUUCUAAACUGUGUGACUAGAGUAUUGCAGGGGGAGACGGAAUUUCAGGUGUAGCGGUGGAAUGCGUAGAUAUCUGAAAGAGCACCAAAGGCGAAGGCAGUCUCCUGGGCAAAUACUGACGCUCAUAUGCGAAAGCGUGGGUAGCAAACA
This 207-nucleotide ribosomal RNA is filed under the name uncultured Succinivibrio sp. RNAcentral describes it as "partial 16S ribosomal RNA". It matches the Rfam family "Bacterial small subunit ribosomal RNA", at positions 568 to 774 of the family's 1533-position model. Lineage: Bacteria; Pseudomonadati; Pseudomonadota; Gammaproteobacteria; Aeromonadales; Succinivibrionaceae. The record is from RNAcentral.